Molecule: long non-coding RNA, 773 nt
Filed under: Coffea arabica (coffee)
Lineage: Eukaryota; Viridiplantae; Streptophyta; Magnoliopsida; Gentianales; Rubiaceae
Description: long non-coding RNA (CARA_LNC007642)
Source: RNAcentral
UAAAACCCUCCAACCAGCACCACACAAUCGAAAGUUCUCAAGAGGGGUAAAGGAAAUAAUGGCUAUUGUAACGGGGUUUCAAGCAUGCAGCGGAUGCAGCCUGAUCCCAACAUGGCCACGCUUCCUCAACCUUCCAAACAUCAGGAGGUUUUCUACCAGGGCUACUACGGUCAGCAUAACAAUGGGCGGAACGGGAAUCCCCAGAGCUAUCCGAACUAUCCAAAUGGACCUAAUGCUUAUGAAACAAUGAGCUACAGCUUCUACGCUCAGGUUCGUUGCCCACCGUAUUAAUUAUAUUAGCAGAUGAACCGACAAUACUGAGCUUCUUCUAAGGGUGCUCAGUGGAUUUCCACAAUUAUCCCUGGAUGUUCAUCUUAUAUAUAAAGGCUUUGCUCUAUCUGAAGCAACCUUUUUAAAUAAUGCCGGGGUAUCAUCUAUCUACCUAGCACCUACUGCAAUGUGUAUCAGUUUGCCGCAUAUGUAUUAACUUUAACACACAAAUAAAACUACUUAAUCCAGCGUAAGCACUAUGGUGUAUUAGGCUUGAAUGUCAGUUUGAUCUUCAUAUUUGGACGUUAAUUGUCUGAAAUUAGAAACUGAAUACGGAGAAUGAAAGGCGAAGAAGCAAUGAAAUGUACAGAAAUACAAAUACACAAAAGGGCAAGGUAAGUCGAGCCAAGGCAAACUUGACAAGGUUUUUAGGGGUUGUGUAUUCUAUCAUCCAAUUAGUGCCUCAAAAUGAGAGGUAAACAUACAUUAGCCAAACUUUUCUU